CUCGGCUUGGAGCUGAUCUUUAACUUCUGGAAACUGAAUUGGUUCUACAGAGUCUGGCUCUGUUGCCCAGGCUGAAGUGCAAUGGUGCAAUCAGAAUUUACUGCAACCUCGACCUCCUGGGCUCAAGUGAUCCUCCUGACUCACUCAGCUUCCUAAGUAGCUGGGACUACUGCCAUCAUAAUGUGAAGAAGCCGAAGCAGCCUGUGAAGAGGCGCUAGUGGAAAGGAACUCAGGUGCCCCUGCCCUCAGUCCCAGCUGAACUCUCAGCUGACAGCCAUCACCAACUUGCCAGCCACAGGAGUGAGCCAACUUGAGAGUGGAUCUUUCAGUCCCAGUGGAGCCAUCUCAGCUGACACACCAUGGUAAAAAGAUGAACCAUCCUUGCUGAUCCUUGCCAGUGCUGCAGAUACAUAAGCAAAAUAAAUGUUUUUGUUGUUUUAAGC
RNAcentral lists this long non-coding RNA (443 nucleotides) under Homo sapiens (human). RNAcentral describes it as "HSALNT0303106". The record is from RNAcentral. Lineage: Eukaryota; Metazoa; Chordata; Mammalia; Primates; Hominidae.